UUAGACUUCCCUGGCUUCAGAUGAUUAGCCUUAUUUUUCACUUACUAAAUAUGCUCAAAGUGCCCAAUCCUGCAAAGAUGAAUGGAAAUACCAAACUUUGCAUACGACUGACUAUAAAAGUGUGAAAAGACGCAUUAUAUAUUGUAACAAGCCAUUCUCAAAUUGUUGAUUAUUUGGGAUUGACCUUCGGUGAUGAUUUGGCAGCUAAACUGAAGGAGAAGACGAUGCUACUGUAGAAGAGUGCUUGCAGAGGUGGCAGAACUUGUGCCCUUAUAUGCAAAGUGGCCAGAAUCUCAAUUAUAGGGAAGGAAAAGGAAGGAGCUUUGACAGAACCUGUGACAGACAAGAACUUUAUUGCUCAAUUGCCAGUGAGGACAAGGCCUAAGAAUUAUCUAAAAGAUACGGAGCAACAUGGCUACCCCUCAGAGACUAAUCCCAAGAGUGAUUCACAAACCAUGGGGAAGACAGGCCUUGCAUGGUCUAAUUCUCAAAUGUCACUGAC
This is a non-coding RNA of Pelodiscus sinensis (Chinese soft-shelled turtle), 502 nucleotides long. Lineage: Eukaryota; Metazoa; Chordata; Testudines; Trionychidae. The record is from RefSeq and is a predicted model, not a curated record.